UCCUACGGGAGGCAGCAGUGGGGAAUAUUGGACAAUGGGCGAAAGCCUGAUCCAGCAAUGCCGCGUGAGUGAUGAAGGCCUUAGGGUUGUAAAGCUCUUUUACCCGGGAUGAUAAUGACAGUACCGGGAGAAUAAGCUCCGGCUAACUCCGUGCCAGCAGCCGCGGUAAUACGUAGGGUGCGAGCGUUGUCC
This 192-nucleotide ribosomal RNA is filed under the name uncultured bacterium. RNAcentral's name for it is "partial 16S ribosomal RNA". It matches the Rfam family "Bacterial small subunit ribosomal RNA", at positions 337 to 546 of the family's 1533-position model. The record is from RNAcentral.